GUGCUCAUAAAAAGGAGAACUAGUUUGCAUCUCCCUCUACAUGGAUAGAAUCAACUUCGAGUUUUAUCUGUUACCACACAUCCCUUAAAGGUAUUCCAACUCGGUGGAUGAGCAAACAAUGUUAU
Molecule: small nuclear RNA, 125 nt
Organism: Solanum pennellii
Lineage: Eukaryota; Viridiplantae; Streptophyta; Magnoliopsida; Solanales; Solanaceae
Source: RefSeq, a predicted model, not a curated record